RNAcentral lists this unclassified non-coding RNA (221 nucleotides) under Hevea brasiliensis (rubber tree). The record is from RNAcentral. Lineage: Eukaryota; Viridiplantae; Streptophyta; Magnoliopsida; Malpighiales; Euphorbiaceae.
UUACUUCAUCAUCUGUCGCAGGCACUAGUCUCCCAUCUCCUUCCACCCGAACAAGCUUGUAUACAACAGGAUCAGUAAGCUGCUUGGUUGAGGAUAGAGAAGAGUAAGUUUUCCCAAACCCAGCUUCCUCAAACUUUCCUUCGUCGUUCCCCUCAACUCCAACCUCUGUUUCCAUGGAAAAUCCACCACAUGCAACUCAAAUACACAAACAUAGAAGUAUG